Molecule: ribosomal RNA, 506 nt
Filed under: uncultured bacterium
Lineage: Bacteria
Description: bacterial SSU rRNA
Rfam family: Bacterial small subunit ribosomal RNA
Source: RNAcentral
UUAUGGCUCAGGAUGAACGCUAGCGGCAGGCCUAAUACAUGCAAGUCGUACGGGAAGUCCCCCUCGGGGGGAUGAGAGUGGCGGACGGGUGCGCAACGCGUAUGCAACCGCCCCCGGGAGGCGGAUAGCCGGUGGAAACGCCGGGUAAUCCGCCGCGGUCCCGGCUGGGGGGCAUCCCCGGCUGGGUAUAGCGGAGACACGACCGGGGAGGGGCAUGCGUCCCAUUAGGUAGUCGGCGGGGUGACGGCCCACCGAGCCCACGAUGGGUAGGGGAUCUGAGAGGACGGUCCCCCACACUGGUACUGAGACACGGACCAGACUCCUGCGGGAGGCAGCAGUAAGGGAUAUUGGGCAAUGGGGGCAACCCUGACCCAGCCAUGCCCGCGUGAGGUAAGAAGGCCCUACGGGUCGUAAGCCUCUUUUGUGCAGGGACAAGGAUCCGGUCGUGAACCGGAUUUGAGGGUACUGCAAGAAUAAGCGUCGGCUAACUCCGUGCCAGCCGCGGC